RNAcentral lists this ribosomal RNA (817 nucleotides) under Staphylococcus saprophyticus. Its description in RNAcentral is "bacterial SSU rRNA". It matches the Rfam family "Bacterial small subunit ribosomal RNA", at positions 56 to 854 of the family's 1533-position model. The record is from RNAcentral. Lineage: Bacteria; Bacillati; Bacillota; Bacilli; Caryophanales; Staphylococcaceae.
UGCAAGUCGAGCGAACAGAUAAGGAGCUUGCUCCUUUGACGUUAGCGGCGGACGGGUGAGUAACACGUGGGUAACCUACCUAUAAGACUGGGAUAACUUCGGGAAACCGGAGCUAAUACCGGAUAACAUUUGGAACCGCAUGGUUCUAAAGUGAAAGAUGGUUUUGCUAUCACUUAUAGAUGGACCCGCGCCGUAUUAGCUAGUUGGUAAGGUAACGGCUUACCAAGGCGACGAUACGUAGCCGACCUGAGAGGGUGAUCGGCCACACUGGAACUGAGACACGGUCCAGACUCCUACGGGAGGCAGCAGUAGGGAAUCUUCCGCAAUGGGCGAAAGCCUGACGGAGCAACGCCGCGUGAGUGAUGAAGGGUUUCGGCUCGUAAAACUCUGUUAUUAGGGAAGAACAAAUGUGUAAGUAACUGUGCACGUCUUGACGGUACCUAAUCAGAAAGCCACGGCUAACUACGUGCCAGCAGCCGCGGUAAUACGUAGGUGGCAAGCGUUAUCCGGAAUUAUUGGGCGUAAAGCGCGCGUAGGCGGUUUCUUAAGUCUGAUGUGAAAGCCCACGGCUCAACCGUGGAGGGUCAUUGGAAACUGGGAAACUUGAGUGCAGAAGAGGAAAGUGGAAUUCCAUGUGUAGCGGUGAAAUGCGCAGAGAUAUGGAGGAACACCAGUGGCGAAGGCGACUUUCUGGUCUGUAACUGACGCUGAUGUGCGAAAGCGUGGGGAUCAAACAGGAUUAGAUACCCUGGUAGUCCACGCCGUAAACGAUGAGUGCUAAGUGUUAGGGGGUUUCCGCCCCUUAGUGCUGCAGCUA